RNAcentral lists this long non-coding RNA (397 nucleotides) under Zea mays. RNAcentral's name for it is "long non-coding RNA NONZMAT001322". Lineage: Eukaryota; Viridiplantae; Streptophyta; Magnoliopsida; Poales; Poaceae. The record is from RNAcentral.
CUCGAUUCCUCGCGGGGGUAACGACCCGCCCGAGCUGCCCGCCGAACUUCGCGCCAGCUAGGUUCUGCAACUCUCCUUUGCCCUGCGCCUAUAAUACCCGAGCAGUCGUUCCCCUUCUCCUCUCUGUUCGUCCCAUCAAUUACGCCGCCGCUAGUGUGCAUCGAUUAGGAGAAUGCCGUGAGUGAAGCCGCCGCUUACCAAAUCCAAAUUGUGUCGCCGCCAUAGUGGCAACUCCGUUUCGCCUGCGCUAACACUUUGGGCAGUGCUGGUCGCAUGGAAGGCAGUGGGUGCCUCGUCUGGGUGGAUUCACGCUCUGUGCCGCCGGAAUCGCACGCCGUAGCUCCACGGUCGCCGCAGGAUCACACGUCUCCGUGGGCAGGGAUCUCGACGCAUCGAC